This is a long non-coding RNA of Pan troglodytes (chimpanzee), 12521 nucleotides long. RefSeq lists it as uncharacterized. The record is from RefSeq and is a predicted model, not a curated record. The transcript is spliced from 5 exons. Lineage: Eukaryota; Metazoa; Chordata; Mammalia; Primates; Hominidae.
CGCCCCGCCUACGCACGCCAUCUUCCGCCAGAGAAUCCCGGCUCCUGCUGCAAUGGAGAGGCUGCUCUGGAAGCUCUGGCAUUGGGGUCUUCAUCCCUGCAGUCUUUUCCAGCUAUUGUGUAGAGCGUUUUUGGCAAGAGAAUCUAGGACCAAGCCACACCGGUUCUCUGCUUAACCCACUCCAUUCGACUGUUCUCCCAGCUAUGCUUCCAGAGUGCUCUGUGCAUUUCCACGAUCAACAAACGAUGAAUAAAUCUCUUACGGAGUUUUGCACUUGUUGCCUAGGUGGGAGUGCAAUGGCAUGAUCACGGCUCACCGCAACUUCUACCUCCCGGGUUCAAGCGAUUCUCCUGCCUCAGCCUCCUGAGUAGCUGGGAUUACAGGUGUGUGGAUCUCGUUCAUUUUCACGUAGACAACGAGAGCGAAACCACAGAGAAAAGAAACAUCCCGUGCAUCACGGCCUGACGAUGGAUUCCUGUUUCCUGCAAAAUGGGGAGUCUCCAAUAUAGCCUGUUUGAAAACCGGAAAGGAGAGCACUGACACAAUGGUGGUCUUCCACGCAUUCCUGGAAGUUUCCGGGACCCCACAGAGCACGGGAAACAAACAGUCAACAUGGUCACGCUUUCAGAGGGCAGAAACUUGAGCAACAGGAACCUUUGCAGAGGGCAAAGAAACGUGGAAUCCAGAAUCACGCUUCAGUUGGCCUAAGUGUGACUCCUGUGUGGAUGGGACUAUCCGCCUCGCGCUCUGUUGCAGGGCUCAACGUGGGGAUAUGUCAUCUGUGAACCAUGUGGAUGAAAAACAGACAACCAGGGCAGCACCUCGGUUUGCACGCGGUCUCGGGUCUACAUUUAGUUGCAAGGCGCUUCAUGGUGCUGGCAAGGAGGCUGGCGGGACAACGGUUGGCAAGUGAUGGAGAGCGAAGAGACAGAGGAGUCGAGCCGCAGAAAGGACUGGCCUGGCUUCUGCCCCGGCCCAGUGUUUCUCGGACUGAGGUCUCCGCCAACCCGAUUGAAGAACGCGGGGGAAAAAGGAAUGAGAGCUCCGCCUGGGCUAGUUAGAAAACCUAGGCUGCUGCCUGGAAACCCGCGCAUGCGCAGUAGACAGCCCGCUUCCGGGUACCUGGACCGGCCCUGGGAUCCCCAGGAUGCUCAGGAAUUCUUUCUUGUCAUUCUUGACAGCCCUCCUCUGUGUGGAGUCUCUCGCUGGACCUGGAACUCAGGGAUCCUAGGCAGGUCAGCUGGAAGGGAAGACACGUCUCUCCAUACCAAGCCUGAGGUUCACCGCGAAAGAGAGGCCGCCGCUCUGCCCCCACCCCGCCCCAACCCCGCCCAAACCUGCUCCUCCAGCAGAGCCCAGUGUUCAUCCUGGCUGAGGAGUGGUUCCAGCAAAGCGGGCUCUUCCACGUCCUUCAGCUCCCCCAGUGGCGCCGGAUCUAGGAAAUGUUGUGCCUUUUGCUGAAACUCUGGGGUUGACAGGAGCUCAUCUAACAGGCUGGAGGUGAGUGCAGACGAGCUCCUCGGCUCCUGGAGCGGUUGGGAGGCGCCUGGAUGGCUGGCAUCUGUGCUUGCCGCGGAGGCCUCGGGUCGCGAUCUCCGGAGGUGGAGGUGCCCCGUCUUCGGGUUCCCACGUCACCCUGGCGACCUGGGGCUCCAGCCCCACCACGGAUUCUGGUGGGACGUGGGUGGCACAAGCACACCUUGCCCCUGUGACUCAGCUUGAGGGGGCCCAAAAUGAGCACGCGCCCAGGAGGCCCUCGCGCAGCGGUUUCUGGUCUUCCUGUCAUUUGUUGGGGUGCGGAGGCCACCAGGGAGUCUGAGGAUGGGACAGCCCCAGUUCCGGAGGAACCAGGGCAGGGAACACAAAGCCCCACAUGCUCGGGCAGGUUGGGAGAGUCCUUCUGCCUGCGCAGCCUGGCUGGGCUGGAGCAGGGGGAUGGCCCUUGCUGCCUGGCUCACGAAAGCCCCCUGUGGGAGAGCCCCAGGCGCGCAGGGCAUGUGCGGUGUCGGAAGCGCCGUUCCCCAUGCCCUGUUGUGGGUGAACUCGAUAGAGGAGGGAGGAGGGUGACACCCACCGGUGGUGCCAAUUAGUAACCACAGUGGCCUCAAAGAACUCAAAUGAAAGGAAGACUUUCACGUCUUUCACUUGAAGUCCAGAGCUAGAAAUGAUUAAGCUUAAUGAAGAUGUAGAAUUUUCAUAGCUAGAGAGAAGUCAAUGCUUGGCUUCAAAACUUCAAAGGAUGGGCUGACUCUCUUUGAGGACCACUGCAGCUGGUGACUUUUAAGUUACAGCCCAGUGCUCAUUGACCACUCUGAAAAUCUCAGGGCCCUUAAGAAUUAUGCAAAAUCUAUUCUUUCUGUGCUCUAGAAAUGGAACAUCACUGUCUGGGUGACAGCACAUCUGUUAAUGGCAUGGUUUACUGAAUAUUUUAAUCCCAAUAUUGAGACCUACUGCUCAGAAAAAAAAGUGAUUCCUUUAAAAAGAUUGUUGCUUGGCCAGGCAUAGUGGCUCACACCUGUAAUCCCUGCACUUUGGGAGGCCGAGGAUCACCUGAGGUCAGGAGUUCAAGACCAGCCUGGCCAAAAUGAUGAAACCCCAUCUCUAAUAAAAAUACAAAAAAAUUAGCCGGGCAUGGUGGUAAUACCUGUAAUUUCAGCUACUCAGGAGGCUGAGGCAGAAGAAUGGCUUGAACUCUGGAGGCGGAGGUGGCAGUGAGCCGAGACCACACCACUGCACUCCAGCCUGGGGAACAAGAGCGAAACUACGUCAAAAAAAUAAUAAUAAUAAAAUAAAAUAAAAGGAAAGAAAAGGAAAAAGGAAAAAAAAGAUUGCUGCUUAUUGACAAUUCACCUAGCUACCCAGAAGCUUAGAUGGAGAGGUACUUGGAAAUUAAUGUUAUUUUCAUGGCUGCUAAUACAAUAUUUACCUUCAGCCUGUGGAUCAAGGAGUGGUUUUGACUUUCAAGUGUUUUUAUUAAUUAAUAAUUGCAUUUUGUAAAGGUAUAGCUAUCAUAGAUAGUGAUUUCUUUGAUGAAUCUGGAUAAGCUGAAUUGAAAACCUUUUGGAAAGGAUUCACCAUUAAUCCUUUCAUGAUAUUUGAACCUCCUCCCGUGAAUCACAAAUGUCCUUAAUAGCAAUCCUUAAAUGCAAUUAAGGACAUUUGUGAUUGAUGGGAGGAGGUUGAAAUAUUAACAUUAACAGGAGUUUGGAAGAAGUUGAUUCCAGCCCUCAUGGAUGACUUUGAGGGCUCAGGAUGUCAGUGGAGAAGUCCCUGCAGAUGUGGUAGAAAUCGCAAGACAACUAGAAUUAGAAUUAGGGCCUUAAGGUGAGAUGAAAUUGCUGUAAACUCAUGAUGAAACUUGAACAAAUAGGGAGUUGCUUCUUAUGGACGAGCAAAGAAAAUAUUUUCUUGAGAUGGAAUCUAAUCCAGGUGGAGAUGCUACAAACAUUGUUGAAAUGACAACUAAGGAUUUAGAAUAUUCCAUAAACCUAGUUGAUAAAGCAGCAGCAGGGUUUGAGAGGGUUUACUCCAAUUUUGAAAAAAGUUCUACUGUUAAUAAAAUGCUGUCAAACAGCAUCACAUGCUACAGGGAAAUCUUUUGUGAAAGGAACAAACUUCAUUGUUUGAAGAAAUUGACACAGGCACCCAACCUUCGGCAGCCCCCACACUGAUUAGCCAGCAGUCAUCAAUAUAGAGGCAAGACCCUCACCAGCAAAAAGAUUAUGACUUGGUGAGGCUCAGAUAUUCAUUCGCAUUUUUUAGCACUGAUGUAUUUUAACUUAAGGUAUGUACACAGUUUUUCAGACAUGCUAUUAAUUGCUAAUUAAUAAUUAAAUACUCAUUAGACUACAAUAUAGUUUAAGCAUAACUUUAAUAAGCACUGGGAAACAAAAUGUUUAUGCAACUAACUUGAUUGUAACAGUUGCCUUAUUGCAGUGGUCUGGAACCAAACCCACAAUAUUUCUGAGGUGUGCUUGUAAGUUUUUGGUUGUAACAUUUGCCUUAUUGCAGUGGUCUGGAACCAAACCCACACUAACUCUCAGGUGUGCUUGUAGAUUUUUGGUUGUAACAUUUGCCUUCUUGAAGUUGUCUGGAACCAAACCCACAAUAUCUCUGAGUAUGCUUGUAGGUUUUUGGUUGUAACAUUUGCCUUAUUGAAGUUGUCUGGAACCAAACCCACAAUAUCUCUGAGUAUGCUUGUAGGUUUUUGGUUGUUCUUUGUUUUGAGAUGGGGUUUCGCUCUGUCGCCCAGGCCAGAGUGCAGUGGCAUGAUGAUAGCUCACUGCAGCCUCAAACUGCUGGGUCAAGUUAUUUUUCUACCACAGCCUCCUGAGUGGCUGGGACUACAGGCAUGCAGCACUAUGCCUGGCUAUUUUUUUUUAAUACUUUUGUUGUAGAGACGGGAUCUCACUAUGUUGCCCAGCUGGUCUUGAACUCUGGGGCUGAAGCAAUCCAGCCACUUCAGACUCCAAAAGUGCAGCCAUUACAGGCUUGAGCCACUGCACCCAGCUUGUCUGAAGUUCUUAAAACAAAAACGGCCAGGUGUGGUGUCUGACGCCUGUAAUCCCAGCACUUUGGGAGGCCAAGGCAGGUGGAUCACAAGGUCAGGAGUUCGAGACCAGCCUGGCCAAGAUGGUGAACCCAGUCUCUACUAAAAAUACAAAAAUUAGCCGGGCGCAGUGGCGGUCACCUGUUGUCCCUGCUACUUGGGAGGCUGAGGCAGGAGAAUCUCUUGAACCCGGGAGGUGGAGGUUGCAGUAAGCCGAGAUCGUGCCACUGCACUCCUGCCUUGCGACAGAGCAAGAUUCCAUCAAAAAAAAAAGAACAAACGUAAUUUAAAAGAUUAAAAGUUAAGAUAGAUUUUUACAAAUGUAUAUAUCUACCAUUACAGUAUCAUACAGAAUGGUUUUACUGCCGUGAAGUUUCUCUGUUGUCUGUGUAUCCAUCUCUUCCUUCCCCUUGGUCCAUGGCAACCACUGAUCUUUCUACUGUUCCCAUAGUUUCACCGUUUCCAGAACGUCAUAUAAUUGGAAUCGAACAGUACGUAGACUUUUCGGAUUGGCUUCUUCUUUUAGCAAUAUGCAUUUAAGUUUCCUCCAUGUAUUUUUUUGUGGCUUGAUAGAUCAUCUCCUGUUAGGGGUGAAUAAUAUCAUAUUGCCAUUAUACUUUUGUCAUGACUCAGAAAGUACAAUGUGAAGAGUAAAUAAGUAUGAAUGUGCACUGUAAGCUUUGAGUGAUAAUGAAGGGUCAAGGUAGGUUCCUGGUUGUCACAGGUGUGCUCCUGUGAGGCAGGAAGCUGUAGUGGGGAGGCUGUGUGUGGGGAAAGGGACAUAUGAGAAGUCUUUACUCUCUGCUCCGUUUAGCUGUGAACCUGCACUUCUCUAAAAAAUAAAAUUAGUUAAAAUUAAGAGCAAAAAAUUAGAAAAAUUAAAACAUUACAAUGUGUCAUAUAGUUUUCACAUCACAAGACAGAAAAAGACAUAAUAAAAGAAACUGUAGAAAACAACAAGGAUAGGAAUAAAAAACAUCAGUGAUAGAAGGCAGAAGACAGAAACGUGGAGCCAAACACAUUAUUUUAUUUUAAUCAUUAGUUAUACUCAUUUAUACUAAUUUAUAUUGAUUUAACAUAUUAAUUUUGACAAAAUGGCAUUAAAGGAGGUUUGAGAAAUUUGCAUGUCACAUUCUGGAUGAGAGGACUCAAUAAUAUUAACUCUUUAGUUUGCUGUAAAUCAUUUAAAAAUAUGCUCAAAUUCCAAUAAAAAUUCCAAGAAAAAUAUUUUCGAACAAGAAAAUGUGAUUUUUAAAUCCACAUAUUGAACACACACGAGAGCCAAUUUUAUAAAAUUUACUAUAACAUAUUUAAGAUUGUUAUUACUAUUCAAAAUUAAACAAAUUUGAAAUGGCACAAAAAUAAACACAUUAAUGAAAGAGAAACAAAAACACAGAAAUUGAGUGUAAUUUUAUCUAGUAACGGUAAUAUUUUAAACCCACAAAACAGAGCAAUUUUUCCAUUUAUGAUGUUAAAAUAUUGGGUAAUGAUUUGAGAAUAUAAAAUGAUAGAAUUGAGUCCUGGUCCCACACCUUACAUAAAAGUUAAUUCCAGUAUUAAAUGUAAAAAAAAAAAAAAAAGAGAGAGAGAGAGAGAGAGAGAAAAGAAAAGAAAAUUAGAUGUACCUGUGUUUUAUGACCUUGAGAAUGAAUGAAUGUCUUCUAAAAUCAAAAUUGCAAACAGAAACUAUAUAAAAAGGAAUAAACCUAACGUACCUAAAACGUACAUUCUUACACAUUUCCACACCAAGUAAAUAGGACAAAACAAACUGGGGACAUUUUUACAACAAUUAUGUUAGAUGAAACUUAAAAUCCUUAUGACAUAUACAAUGUAUAAAACAGUAUUAUUACCACUAUUAUUACUACCAUUAUGAUUACCUGGUCUUCCCACGCACCAGUCCUCUUCCGGUGCCCUAUGGUGAAACAGAGCCCUCCGUCUCUGGCCACAGUGAGGGAUCCAUCAGGAACCCUGCCUAAGCCCUCAGAGGGUGUGAGCCAAACCAGGACAUCACAUUCCCUCCUGCAAUGACGCAGAUAUCCACUCACGACAGAGAUUUGGUACCUCUCUGGAAAAGCUGUGUAACAAUUAUUGCAGAAACUUGUUUCUUAUGUUCCCAGACACAUGGAGAAAGCUGGUCUGGAAGACUGAUGUCCACAUGCUAAGAGAAGCAGUCACUCAUAACACACACUGCACACACCACACCAUGUGCACACACACCCCACACACAGACACCACACAAACAGCACACACACCAUGUGCACACGUGAAGGGGUGGUCUGCCCCUCCACACUUGUGGGCGUUUCUCAUCGGGUGGAACAAGAGACUUGAGAAAAGAGACACAGAGACGAAGUAUAGAGAAAGAAAAGUGGGCCCAGGGGAAUGGCGCUCAGCAUACGGAGGACCCACGCUGGCACCAGUCUCUCAGUUCCCUUAGUAUUUAUUGAUCAUUAUCAGGCGUUUCUCAGAGAGGGGGAUGUGGCAGGACAAUAGGGUAAUAGUGGAGAGAAGGUCAGCAGGAAAACAUAUGAACAAAUGUCUCUGCAUCAUAAACAAGGUAAAGAAAAAAGUGCUGUGCUUUUGAUGUUCAUAUACAUAAACAUCUCAAUGCCUUAAAGAGCAGUAUUGUUGCCAGCAUGUCCCACCUCCAGCCCUAAGGCAGUUUUCCCCUAUCUCAGUAGAUGGAAUAUACAACUGGGCUUUACACUGAGAUAUUCCAUUGCCCAGGGACAAGCAGGAGACAGAUGCCUUCCUCUUAUCUCAACUGCAAAGAGGCCUUCCUUUUUACUAAUCCUCCCCAGCACAGAACCUUUAUAGGUGUCAGGCUGGGGGAUGGUCAGGUCUUUCCCUUCCCAUGAGACCAUAUUUCAGACUAUCACAUGGGGAGAAACCUUGGACAAUACCUGGCUUUCCUAGGCAGAGUUCCCUGUGGCCUUCCGCAGUGUUUUGUGUCCCUGGGUACUUGAGAGUAGGGAGUGGUGAUGACUCUUAACAAGAAUGCUGCCUUCAAGCAUUUGUUUAACAAAGCACAUCCUGCACAGCCGUUAAUCCAUUUAACCUUGACUUGACACAGCACAUGUCUCAGGGAGCACAGGGUUGGGGGUACGGUUACAGAUUAACAGCCUCUCAAGGCAGAAGAAUUUUUCUUAGUACAGAACAAAAUGGAGUCUCUUAUGUCUACUUCUUUCUACAUAGACACAGUAACAGUCUGAUCUUUUUCUUUUCCCCCCACACAUGCAUACACACCCCACAGACACCGCACACACUGCACACACACCCCAGACACCACACCCACUGCACACACCACACCAUAUGCACACACACAACCCAGACACCAUACACACUGCACAUACCUCAUGAGCACAUGCACACACAUCACACAGACACCACACACUGCACACACACCAUGUGCACAAACACCACACACACUGCACACACACCAUGUGCACGUAUACACACCCCACACUGCACACACACACGUGCACACGCACACACCCCAGAGACUACACACCGCACACACCACUCCAUGUGCACACACACCCCACACACAGACACCACACACUGCACACAGCCCACCACACUGCACAUGCCACACCGUGUACAUGCACACACCACACACACACCACACACAGUGUACACAAGCACACAUGCCCCACACAUACACCACACAGACACCACACACACUGCACACAGCACAACAUGCAUACACGCACACACACCCCCACACACCACACAUACUGCACACAUACCACGUACACACACACCCAACACAGACAUCACACACUGCACACACACCAUGUAUACAUGCACACAAACCCCCAAACAUCACACACACCACACACCAUGUGCACGUGCACACACCCCACCACAGACACAUACACUGCACACAGACCAGGUGCACACACGCACACCCCUGAUACGCCACACACACACCAUGUGCACACACACACCCCAGACACCACACACACUGCACACACACCAUGUGCACAUGCACACACAUCCCCACACCACAAUGCACAAUGUGCACACACGCAUACCCCCCACACACCGCACACACUACACCACACACAAGAAUCUACUACACACACAACAUACACAUACAGCACCACACACACCCCAUACUCCCCACACACAUCAAACACACGCCCCACACAUACUCCCCACACACUGCACACGUAUAUAUAGCACCACACAGAGCACACACAUCACAUACACACCACACAUACUGUGCACACACACACCACACAUUCUACACUCAUCACACAUCAAACACUACACACAGUACACACACAUCCAGCACCAUACACACACACAUCACAUAAACCACAAACUGCACACACAUAUAUCAUACGCACACCACACCACACGUAGUACACACCCACCACACACACAUACACCACAAACACAGCACAUAUACACACCAUGCACCACCCACAAACUACACACAGUAUACACACAUAACACCCACAAUACACACUACACACACAUAUACAUACCCCAUGAACCUACUACACACAAAGACCACAAACACACACCAUACAUACACAUCACACACAUACACCUGCGCACACCUCACAGCAUACAUACAAUCCUCACUUUUAGAAAUUAAUUUGGCUUUUAAGGAGCCUGGAUAGUAAAGUAUUUUAUUGGCAUUUGAAUGAACCAAAAAAAUGCAUAUAAAUACACAAGCGUAACUAUAAGGGCAAAAGUAGUACUUUCGAAAUCACAACAUUAGAUUAAACCAUGUAAAUUUUUUAUUGUUUUUAAAAAAUCGAGUCUUUCUCAUCUUACGAUAAAUUAUUUACCAGAGUAAAUAAGCUUCUUACUGAGGUCAAAAGACUUUCUGGAAAAACUUCUCCUUGAUGAAAUUGCACUUAAAACAUCACUUCCAUCAUGAAGUAUUUAAGAUGGUCUUGGUCCUUUUCCUGUUAUGUGGAAUCGUCAAUUCAAAUUUUAAAAGUGACGUUGAGAUGUUUUUCAUCUAUUAUUUUAAAAACGUUGAAGGCGUUUUUAAUUCUGCCUUCAACAGAGAUCGACAUACCUCUGAUUAUGAUGUAAAACUGAACACGUUACUCUGACAGGCUUUCUUUUCUGCAGCGCAGCUACCAUCAUUAUUAAUAAGGAUUGAAGGCUUUUACUCCAUGCACAAUCUGUAUUCCCUGCUUUAUAAAGAAUAGAAAUCUAAUUCUCACUAUGAAGGCAGAUAAAAGUAAUCCCUUCAACCUAUAGAUGAAUCAUUUACCAAAGCACUCAGACUUUAAAUAGCAUUUAUCAAAUGUGUCUAUAUUUCUAUGCAGAUUCAUAGAAAGAACAUGUAGUUUAAAUCAUUGCACAUUUUAUGCUUUUAAUGAGUUGUGAUGGUCAUUAGUAUUUUUAUCACAUUUCCCCAAAGGUAGGCUAAUUACUGUUUUUAUUUUCAGCUAGAAAUAUAAAAUGAAUUUUCUAUUUUUGAAGACUUUGAAACAUAAUCCUUGGAAUAUAAUAUCUGUGUAUAAUAUCUGUGGAAAGCAUGAAAGCAACAUUCAAACAGUAUGCAUUUUUUCCAGAUUGAAAAUUUACUCUACAAUAACAUUCAUCCUUUUUUCCUGAUGGGCACAUAAAAGUCAACAUUUCUGACAUUGCUGGAUGUUAUUUACAUUAAACUUGCCUCAGAUUCAGGUGUUGCAGAAACUGGACAAGAGGCCACAAGGUACACAAUACACACACACACACACACACACACACACACACACACACACACACACAACUUGUAUUAUUAUACUUACCUAAGUGUCUAAAGAGGUGGAUAAAUAUAUUAGAUUGCUCCAGAACAAGGAUUUUUAUGGGGCCUAUUGGAAAGUAUGACUGCAGUUUGAGUGAGAUGCCUGUAAGAGAUUCAAUUUUGCCACUAAUGGAGUACCCAAUUUUAAAAAUACUGACAGAAGGGUCAUGAGAUAGAAAUUUUCACCUAGAUCUAUUGGAAAUAUGCUACUAGAUUCUGUAGUAAAAAGACUGGUGUGGUAAUUGUAAAACACAUCUGAUAUCUAAACCUUUGUUUGUUUUUUACCUGAAAUCCUUAUAGGGGUGAUUGUGUAUGUCAAUUUGAAUCUUCCCAUCAACAAGAUAAAUAAAUACAUAAAUAAACAGCCACCUGCCUGUAUAAAUUAGUUCACCUUUUCUAUAUUUUGAGGGCAGUGCUUCUCCUCCUUUGACAGCCACAAGUUUCACCCGGGGAUCCCUUAAAAUGCAAAACCAUAGCCCACACUUUGACAAGCUUGGAUAAGAGGCCAGAGCUUUGAAAUGAGUGUGUAGCUGACUGUGCUAAGAUUCUGCUGCUCAUUUGGGCACUGGCUCACCAUAUAAACAAAGCCUAGGACCUCUAUUCCUUGCUGGAAAAGAAAUACACAUACAUAGGAUGUGACUGUGCAUAUGGAAUAUCUGUUGUGUUCUGGACAUUGUGCUAGACAACAGAGAUAAGAAGUCAAAUAAUCCUUUGUCUCUAUCUGAAAAGAGCUUCCUACACACUGGCUUCUGAGGUCUUUGAAACUAGAUUCACUUUCAGAUUUGACUAUUAUAUUUAUGAUUUGAUAUUUUCAUUGAACCCCAUGAUAUGAUAAAGUUUUCUAGAACCUGCUAGAAUAAUUGACUUUCCUCUCAGCAUUAUGAAGCCACUGGGGCACAUAAGUAGUUCAUUUAUGUUUCUAUUUAACCAGACAGGAACAACUUGAGCUACUUUUCUAGCCACUUUUGUUUAGAGCUGUUUUUGUUUGUUAUUUUUGUUUGUUUUUGAGACAGGUCUCACUCUGUCACCUAGGCUGAAAUGCAGUGGCGUGAUCGGAGCUCACUGCAGCCUCUACCUUCUGGGCUCAAGCAAUCCUCUCACCUCAGCCUCCUGAAAAGCUGGGACCACAGGCUCAUACCACCAUACCCUCCUAAUUAAAAAUUUUUUUUUGUAGAGACGGUUUUUCCAUGUUUCUUAGACUUGUCUCCAACUCUUGAACUUAAGCAAUCUGCCUGCCUCAGCCUCCUAAAGUGUAGAGCUGUGUUUUCAGUCUUUUUUUGAGCUGUUUUACAAUCCAGCUUUGAAUUGAUAACUUUGGAUUCAUUCUGACAUUUACAGAUUUUACAUCCUACUUCACAAGAUGCUCAUAGCCUUAAUCCAUUACAGCCGCUGCCUCACAUCCAUCUCUGCUCAUAGCCUUGAUCUAUUACAGUAGCCACCUCGUCCAUCUCUGCUCAUAGCCUAAACUUAUAGAAGCCAGAGGGAAGAAAUGGAAGCCAACGUGAGAUCAGAACACACAUUUUAUAAGAGUAUAAGAAAUUUAAAUAUAGCAAAGUAUAUCAUGAAGUUUGUAAAAGAUGUGCAUGGCUAAAAUUUAUUCUUAAUCAAUAUAUUCUAUAAAUUGGGAGAAAAUAUUAAACACAUGAAAAAUAAGGAACUUGGGCUGGGUGCGGUGGCUCAUGCCUGUAAUCCCAGCACUUUGGGAGGCCGAGGCUUGCGGAUCACAUGGUCAGGAGAUCAAGACCAUCCUGGAUAACAUGGUGAAACCCCGUCUCUACUAAAAAUACAAAAAAAUUAGCCAGGGGUGGUGGUGGGUGCCUGUAGUCCCAGCUACUCGGAAGGCUGAGGCGGAAGAAUGGCAUGAACCUGGGAGGCAGAGCUUGCAGGGAACCGAGAUCACGCCAUUGCACUCCAGCCUGGGGACAGAGCGAGACUCCGUCGCAAAAAAAUAAGAAAGAAAAGUAAGGAACUUUCAUCAUUAAUAUAUAACUAAUAUGACAAGAAUGUGGUUUAUGUUUUUAUCUUUGCAAGAUUUAGGAACAUUUAGUGGAAGGAGGAAGAAUUUAUAAUCAUGGGGAGCGUGUAUGAUACUGGAGGGAGGCUUCUGACAAGGGGGAAAUGGCAUCACGAGGUAUGCUGUGGUCAUAGCUAUGUGGGAGCGCAGCUAGCUGUGAUCUCCCCCAUCAAACCCACUGGGCAGUGUUCAGUUACCAA